Molecule: long non-coding RNA, 221 nt
Filed under: Theobroma cacao (cacao)
Lineage: Eukaryota; Viridiplantae; Streptophyta; Magnoliopsida; Malvales; Malvaceae
Description: long non-coding RNA (TCAC_LNC002537)
Source: RNAcentral
UGUCAUUUUCAUCCUUUUUUUUCCCCCUUUUUGAUUCAUUGAUUUCAGUUAACUGCUUGAGCUUUGAUGGUGUAUCAGUUCUCUUAGCGUUGUUCUCACCAGGCCGAAGUGGCAGUUGUAUUCUUUUACUUUGUGUACCAAUUCUCCUAGAUCCUUUGCUUAAAUGCUAUUUUAUAGUUUAAAUAGUCAUCAUAAUUUAAUUGUACAGAUAUACUUUCUAU